RNAcentral lists this ribosomal RNA (253 nucleotides) under uncultured bacterium. Its description in RNAcentral is "partial 16S ribosomal RNA". It matches the Rfam family "Bacterial small subunit ribosomal RNA", at positions 524 to 776 of the family's 1533-position model. The record is from RNAcentral.
UACAGAGGGGGCAAGCGUUAUUCGGAAUUACUGGGCGUAAAGGGCGCGUAGGCGGCCUCGAAAGUCUGAUGUGAAAGCCCUGGACCCAAUCCAGGAAGUGCAUCGGAAACUGCGGGGCUCGAGUGCAGGAGAGGAGGACGGAAUUCCUGGUGUAGAGGUGAAAUUCGUAGAUAUCAGGAGGAACAACAGUGGCGAAGGCGGUUCUCUGGACCGUAACUGACGCUGAGGCGCGAAAGCGUGGGGAGCAAACAGG